AAAAGUUGCGGGGCAUAGAGGAGCGGCCCCGGGACGGGCAGCUAGCGCGACCCUGAGCCGGCGCCCGUGGUCCGGCCAUGGACGACCUCGGCUCUGAGGAGUAGAUUCAGCAGACAGGACUGAUGGACCUCUACCAAGCAGCGCCGGGCACUAAGUUAAGACUGGCUAUUUGUAGACGCCCUGCUGGCGGACUUGGAGUCUACCACCUCCCACAUCUCCAAACGGCCUGUGUUCUUGUCGGAGGAGACCCCCUACUCAUACCCAACUGGAAACCACACAUACCAGGAGAUUGCCGUGCCACCCCCCGUCCCCCCACCCCCGUCCAGCGAGGCCCUCAAUGGCACAAUCCUUGACCCCUUAGACCAGUGGCAGCCCAGCGGCUCCCGAUUCAUCCACCAGCAGCCUCAGUCCUCAUCACCUGUGUACGGCUCCAGUGCCAAAACUUCCAGUGUCUCCAACCCUCAGGACGGUGUUGGCUCUCCGUGCUCCCGAGUGGGUGAGGAGGAGCACGUCUAC
This 516-nucleotide small RNA is filed under the name Pan troglodytes (chimpanzee). RNAcentral describes it as "processed transcript". Lineage: Eukaryota; Metazoa; Chordata; Mammalia; Primates; Hominidae. The record is from RNAcentral.